AUUGAACGCUGGCGGCAUGCCUUACACAUGCAAGUCGAACGGCAGCACGGGUGCUUGCACCUGGUGGCGAGUGGCGAACGGGUGAGUAAUACAUCGGAACAUGUCCUGUAGUGGGGGAUAGCCCGGCGAAAGCCGGAUUAAUACCGCAUACGAUCCAUGGAUGAAAGCGGGGGACCUUCGGGCCUCGCGCUAUAGGGUUGGCCGAUGGCUGAUUAGCUAGUUGGUGGGGUAAAGGCCUACCAAGGCGACGAUCAGUAGCUGGUCUGAGAGGACGACCAGCCACACUGGGACUGAGACACGGCCCAGACUCCUACGGGAGGCAGCAGUGGGGAAUUUUGGACAAUGGGCGAAAGCCUGAUCCAGCAAUGCCGCGUGUGUGAAGAAGGCCUUCGGGUUGUAAAGCACUUUUGUCCGGAAAGAAAUCCUUGGCUCUAAUACAGUCGGGGGAUGACRGUACCGGAAGAAUAAGCACCGGC
RNAcentral lists this ribosomal RNA (476 nucleotides) under Burkholderia cepacia. Its description in RNAcentral is "bacterial SSU rRNA". It matches the Rfam family "Bacterial small subunit ribosomal RNA", at positions 30 to 497 of the family's 1533-position model. Lineage: Bacteria; Pseudomonadati; Pseudomonadota; Betaproteobacteria; Burkholderiales; Burkholderiaceae. The record is from RNAcentral.